This is a long non-coding RNA of Pogonomyrmex barbatus (red harvester ant), 424 nucleotides long. NCBI's taxonomy places the organism in Eukaryota, Metazoa, Arthropoda, Insecta, Hymenoptera, Formicidae. The record is from RefSeq and is a predicted model, not a curated record.
CUUGACUUAAUUUAUUUUUCAUCCUUUUUUAAUUUCAACAAUUAGAAAAAAUAGAGUAAAUUAAAUCGAAGAGAUUAAGAUUAAUCUGCAUUGAAAGGAUAGAUAUUAGGAUUGCUCUCUCUUGUUGCACGAAAAGUUGAAAAUAUUUUGUACAAUUUAUCAUCGUGUACAAUAGUUGCUGCACAUGGAUGUCAUAUAACUUCAAUACUGGUGUAGAAAACAAUUGUUUUCUGCGUGAGAAUCAGAAAAUAAUAUGGUCCCCAUGUUCUCAACAAGACACAAUGGAUUGUGGAUACUGAAAAUUACUUGACAAAUUAAUUGACGAUUAAUUGAAAUUUGAUAGAAAUCACUUUAAACAUAAUAAUAAAGAAAGAAAAAAAUAAGGGAGAGAACGAGACUGGAACAAAUAAGUGAAAAUCACGAU